RNAcentral lists this ribosomal RNA (508 nucleotides) under uncultured Glomeromycotina. RNAcentral describes it as "SSU rRNA". It matches the Rfam family "Eukaryotic small subunit ribosomal RNA", at positions 569 to 1078 of the family's 1831-position model. Lineage: Eukaryota; Fungi; Glomeromycota. The record is from RNAcentral.
AGCAGCCGCGGUAAUUCCAGCUCCAAUAGCGUAUAUUAAAGUUGUUGCAGUUAAAAAGCUCGUAGUUGAAUUUCGGGGUCAGCAGGUUGGUCAUGCCUCUGGUAUGCACUGGUUUCGCUGAUUCCUCCUUUCUGAAGAACUGUAAUGUCAUUAAUUUGGUGUUGCAGGGAAACAGGACUGUUACUUUGAAAAAAUUAGAGUGUUUAAAGCAAGCUAACGCUUGAAUACAUUAGCAUGGAAUAAUGAAAUAGGACGUUUGAUCCUAUUUUGUUGGUUUCUAGGAUUGACGUAAUGAUUAAUAGGGAUAGUUGGGGGCAUUAGUAUUCAAUUGUCAGAGGUGAAAUUCUUGGAUUUAUUGAAGACUAACUACUGCGAAAGCAUUUGCCAAGGAUGUUUUCAUUAAUCAAGAACGAAAGUUAGGGGAUCGAAGACGAUCAGAUACCGUCGUAGUCUUAACCAUAAACUAUGCCGACUAGGGAUCGGAUGAUGUUAAUUUUUUAAUGACUCG